RNAcentral lists this ribosomal RNA (252 nucleotides) under Trechus felix. RNAcentral describes it as "partial 18S ribosomal RNA". It matches the Rfam family "Eukaryotic small subunit ribosomal RNA", at positions 20 to 275 of the family's 1831-position model. Lineage: Eukaryota; Metazoa; Arthropoda; Insecta; Coleoptera; Carabidae. The record is from RNAcentral. RNAcentral also lists the same sequence under 2 other names.
GUAGUCAUAUGCUUGUCUCAAAGAUUAAGCCAUGCAUGUCUCAGUACAAGCCAUAUUAAGGUGAAACCGCGAAAGGCUCAUUAAAUCAGUUAUGGUUCCUUAGAUCGUACCCACAUUUACUUGGAUAACUGUGGUAAUUCUAGAGCUAAUACAUGCAAACAGAGCUCCGACCGGAGACGGAAGGAGUGCUUUUAUUAGAUCAAAACCAAUCGGCGGCAAUUGGGUUUACUUAAUUGUUCGUCGCACUUUUUG